This is a small nucleolar RNA of Anneissia japonica, 66 nucleotides long. RefSeq annotates it as small nucleolar RNA SNORD58. The record is from RefSeq and is a predicted model, not a curated record. Lineage: Eukaryota; Metazoa; Echinodermata; Crinoidea; Comatulida; Comatulidae. The transcript has a single exon.
UUGCUAUGAUGUUUACUUAGGACACCUUUGAAAAGAAUGAAACUGUUUAUAAAUUGACUGAGCAAC